This 231-nucleotide ribosomal RNA is filed under the name Triticum aestivum (bread wheat). RNAcentral's name for it is "partial small subunit ribosomal RNA". The record is from RNAcentral. Lineage: Eukaryota; Viridiplantae; Streptophyta; Magnoliopsida; Poales; Poaceae.
AUGGGAAGAGCGGAGCUGGCAGGUGUAGGCAAAGGCUCGAGGUCGUCGUGGCCGGAGGCGGUGGGGCUGCCUGUGGCCACGGCGGCGCUCCUGAUCAACGGGGACAGGCCCGAUGUUGCGGUGGCGGUAGCUGAGGGACCAAUCAGGCGGCCAGGGGAGCCCGACCCUAAGCGCGUCAUUCUGGUGUCCGACGGCGCCGGUGUCAUCGUCAAGACCCCCGUCGUCGGCUAA